Molecule: ribosomal RNA, 253 nt
Filed under: uncultured bacterium
Lineage: Bacteria
Description: partial 16S ribosomal RNA
Rfam family: Bacterial small subunit ribosomal RNA
Source: RNAcentral
UACGUAGGGUGCAAGCGUUAAUCGGAAUUACUGGGCGUAAAGCGCACGUAGGCGGAUCGAUCAGUCAGGGGUGAAAUCCCAGAGCUCAACUCUGGAACUGCCUUUGAUACUGUCGAUCUGGAGUAUGGAAGAGGUGAGUGGAAUUCCGAGUGUAGAGGUGAAAUUCGUAGAUAUCGAGAGGAACACCGGUGGCGAAGGCGGCCAACUGGACGAAUACUGACGCUGAGACUCGAAAGCGUGGGGAGCAAACAGG